Molecule: ribosomal RNA, 403 nt
Filed under: Amynthas sp. Tago1
Lineage: Eukaryota; Metazoa; Annelida; Clitellata; Crassiclitellata; Megascolecidae
Description: partial 12S rRNA
Source: RNAcentral
UAGAUACCCGUCUAUUCAUGACCUAAACAACAGUUGAAUAUUACGAACAACAGUUUAAAAUUCAAAGAUUUUGGCGGUGUCUUAUAAAACCAGGGGAACCUGUCUCAUAACUCGAUAGUCCACGCAUAGUCAACCUUCUCUCGACAUCAGCCUGUGUACUGCCGUUGUAAGCAUACCUCUAAAAGUGUAGUGUGCCUAUAUGAACUCAUAUACAUCAGGUCAAAGUGCAGCUAAUAAGAAGGUGAUGAUGGGUUACAACCUCAAAAUAGACUAUCAACCAAGAAAUAAAAAAUCUUACGAAAGUGGACUUGGCCGUAAUCAAUUUACAAGUUAAAAAAAUGAAUAACAAUCUAAGACAUGCACACAUCGCCCGUCACUCUACCCUAAAGGGUAGAUAAGUCGU